UACUGGCAGGAUCAACCAGGCAACGGUGAAGAACAAGUACCCUCUUCCGCGGAUCGACAAGCUUUUCGACCAGCUUCAGGGUGCCCAACACUUUUUGAAGAUAGAUCUGAGAUCAGGAUACCACCAGCUACGGGUCAGAGAGAAGGAUAUACAGAAGACAGUGCUUCGGACACGCUACGGCCAUUAUGAGUUCCUUGUCAUGCCGUUCGGGCUGACGAAUGCACCAGCAAUGUUCAUGGCCUUGAUGAACAAGAUCUUUGCACCGUACCUCGAUAGCUUCACUGUAGUAUUCAUCGACGACAUGCUAGUCUACUCAAAGUCUAGAGAUGAGCACGAGCAGCAUUUGAGGACGUCUCUACAGCUAUUGCGCGACAACCAGUUAUACGCGAAGCUCAGCA
RNAcentral lists this unclassified non-coding RNA (398 nucleotides) under Phoebe excelsa. RNAcentral describes it as "partial miscellaneous RNA". The record is from RNAcentral. Lineage: Eukaryota; Viridiplantae; Streptophyta; Magnoliopsida; Laurales; Lauraceae.